AUGAACGCUGGCGGCGUGCCUAAUACAUGCAAGUAGAACGCUGAAGGAGGAGCUUGCUCUUCUGGAUGAGUUGCGAACGGGUGAGUAACGCGUAGGUAACCUGCCUGGUAGCGGGGGAUAACUAUUGGAAACGAUAGCUAAUACCGCAUGACAACAGUUAUUGCAUGAUAACUGUUUAAAAGGGGCAACUGCUCCACUACCAGAUGGACCUGCGUUGUAUUAGCUAGUUGGUGAGGUAACGGCUCACCAAGGCGACGAUACAUAGCCGACCUGAGAGGGUGAUCGGCCACACUGGGACUGAGACACGGCCCAGACUCCUACGGGAGGCAGCAGUAGGGAAUCUUCGGCAAUGGACGGAAGUCUGACCGAGCAACGCCGCGUGAGGGAAGAAGGUUUUCGGAUCGUAAAGCUCUGUUGUAAGAGAAGAACGAGUGUGAGAGUGGAAAGUUCACACUGUGACGGUAUCUUACCAGAAAGAGACGGCUAACUACGUG
Molecule: ribosomal RNA, 494 nt
Filed under: uncultured bacterium
Lineage: Bacteria
Description: partial 16S ribosomal RNA
Rfam family: Bacterial small subunit ribosomal RNA
Source: RNAcentral